GAUGAAGAACGCAGCGAAAUGCGAUAAGUAAUGUGAAUUGCAGAAUUCAGUGAAUCAUCGAAUCUUUGAACGCACAUUGCGCCCCCUGGUAUUCCGGGGGGCAUGCCUGUUCGAGCGUCAUUUCACCACUCAAGCCUCGCUUGGCAUUGGGCAACGCGGUCCGCCGCGUGCCUCAAAUCGACCGGCUGGGUCUUCUGUCCCCUAAGCGUUGUGGAAACUAUUCGCUAAAGGGUGUUCGGGAGGCUACGCCGUAAAACAACCCCAUUUCUAAGGUUGACCUCGGAUCAGGUAGGGAUACCCGCUGAACUUAAGCAUAUCAAUAAGCGGAGGA
RNAcentral lists this unclassified non-coding RNA (331 nucleotides) under soil metagenome. RNAcentral's name for it is "partial contains 5.8S ribosomal RNA, internal transcribed spacer 2, and large subunit ribosomal RNA". The stretch from base 1 to 120 matches the Rfam family "5.8S ribosomal RNA", at positions 35 to 154 of the family's 154-position model. The record is from RNAcentral.